GACGAACGCUGGCGGCGUGGAUUAGGCAUGCAAGUCGAACGGUAUCAUCCUUUCGGGGGUGAGAGAGUGGCGAACUGGUGAGUAACACGUAGGUUAUCUACCCUCAAGACGGGGACAACCCAGGGAAACUUGGGCUAAUACCGGAUGUGAGCAACUUUUAGUUGUUUGAAAGGUGGCGUAAGCUGUCGCUUGGGGAUGAGCCUGCGUCCUAUUAGUUAGUUGGUGAGGUAACGGCUCACCUAGGCAAUGAUAGGUAGGCGGCCUUAACGGGUGGUCGCCCACACUGGGAUUGAGAUACGGCCCAGACUCCUACGGGAGGCAGCAGUCGAGAAUAGUCUACAAUGGUCGGAAGACUGAUAGUGCGACGCCGCGUGAACGAUGAAUCCCUUCGGGGUGUAAAGUUCUUUUAUAUGUGAGCAGUGCUUCUAUAUUAACAGUAUGGGGAGAGAGAUAUUAGCAUAUGAAUAAGCAACGGCUAACUCCGUGCCAGCAGCCGCGGUAAU
Molecule: ribosomal RNA, 503 nt
Filed under: uncultured bacterium
Lineage: Bacteria
Description: bacterial SSU rRNA
Rfam family: Bacterial small subunit ribosomal RNA
Source: RNAcentral